Molecule: ribosomal RNA, 450 nt
Filed under: uncultured bacterium
Lineage: Bacteria
Description: partial 16S ribosomal RNA
Rfam family: Bacterial small subunit ribosomal RNA
Source: RNAcentral
CCUACGGGUGGCUGCAGUGGGGAAUAUUGGACAAUGGGCGCAAGCCUGAUCCAGCAAUGCCGCGUGUGUGAAGAAGGCCUGCGGGUUGUAAAGCACUUUCAGUGGGGAGGAAGGCCUCGAUAUUAAUACUAUUGAGGAUUGACGUUACCCACAGAAGAAGCACCGGCUAACUCUGUGCCAGCAGCCGCGGUAAUACAGAGGGUGCAAGCGUUAAGUGGAGUGACUGGGGGUGGAUGCUGCGUACGGGGUUGAAAGCCCCGGGCUCAACCUGGGAAUUGCAUUUGAUACUGAGUAACUUGAGUAUGGUAGAGGGAAGUGGAAUUUCCAGUGUAGCGGUGAAAUGCGUAGAUAUUGGAAGGAACAUCAGUGGCGAAGGCGACUUCCUGGACCAUUACUGACACUGAGGCACGAAAGCGUGGGGAGCGAACAGGAUUAGAUACCCGAGUAGUC